UACGGGGGGUCCAAACGUUAUUCGGAAUCAUUGGGUUUAAAGGGUUCGUAGGCGGGACAUUAAGUGGGGGGUGAAAUGCUGCAGCUCAACUGAAGAAUGGCCUUUGAUACUGGUGUUCUUGAGUGAUGUUGCUGUGGUCGGAACAUAUGGUGUAGCGGUGAAAUGCAUAGAUAUCACAUAGAACGCCGAUUGCGAAGGCAGGUUACUAGGCAUAUACUGACGCUGAGGGAAGAAAGCGUGGGGAGCGAACGGG
RNAcentral lists this ribosomal RNA (253 nucleotides) under uncultured bacterium. RNAcentral describes it as "partial 16S ribosomal RNA". It matches the Rfam family "Bacterial small subunit ribosomal RNA", at positions 524 to 776 of the family's 1533-position model. The record is from RNAcentral.